This 531-nucleotide long non-coding RNA is filed under the name Olea europaea (common olive). RNAcentral describes it as "long non-coding RNA (OEUR_LNC007385)". Lineage: Eukaryota; Viridiplantae; Streptophyta; Magnoliopsida; Lamiales; Oleaceae. The record is from RNAcentral.
UUUUUACUCAAGGAUGGGGCAUUUGAAAUGUCAAUUAAUUACAUAAGAAAAAAAACGUCCAUAGCAAAGGUUACAGUAGUCUCACACCAUCGCCAUCGCCAUAUCCAUAGCAUAGAUUGUUUAAUUAUUUAACUUCAAGUCACCAUUUAUGUAUCCUACAAAACACAAAGCUGAAAAUGCCAAAAUGAUCCUAACUCAUUUACCUUGAUUGAAUUUUCAAGUACUUAGUCUUGAUUAGCUUCAAAAUCAACAAUUUAUCAAAUUAUUAAGAGGUGAAAAUGAUGUAAAGGAUAGGUAGAAAUGAAUGGCAAAAGGCUACUGAAGCACAAAAGCAUGUUGUGCGUGAACUCAAGUGUGCACAAUGGUGUGUUUGGCAAUCAUUAAAAUAGAAAUUAUCUUUAAAAGUCAACUAUGAAGUUUCAUAUCGUAAUUAGGGCAAAAGCCAGUUUCUCCAUAUUCGGAUACCUUAUCUUGGAACCCCGAAGGGCUUUGCUUAGAUAGUAGAUCGACAACUGCCAUAGUUCUUUAGUA